Anaerostipes sp. 992a is the source of this 73-nucleotide transfer RNA. It matches the Rfam family "tRNA". From Rfam's summary of the family: Transfer RNA (tRNA) molecules are approximately 80 nucleotides in length. Their secondary structure includes four short double-helical elements and three loops (D, anti-codon, and T loops). The record is from Rfam. NCBI's taxonomy places the organism in Bacteria, Bacillati, Bacillota, Clostridia, Lachnospirales, Lachnospiraceae.
GCACCAUUAGCUCAGUUGGUAGAGCAGUAGACUCUUAAUCUAUUUGUCUAGGGUUCGAAUCCCUAAUGGUGUA